Long non-coding RNA from Sinocyclocheilus anshuiensis, 872 nucleotides. RefSeq lists it as uncharacterized. The record is from RefSeq and is a predicted model, not a curated record. NCBI's taxonomy places the organism in Eukaryota, Metazoa, Chordata, Actinopteri, Cypriniformes, Cyprinidae. The transcript is spliced from 5 exons.
UACUUGUCUGUGAAAUUAUGAAUGGGAUGUGUGUGUGUGUGUGUGCAUAUAUGUGAGAGAAAGAAAAAGGGAGGGAUGGAAAGACACUGCAUCGUGAAAGGAGAAGGAUUCACUAACUCACUGCUCACCUUCACAGACAGACAGGAGAAGGGCAGCUGCGCAGCUAGAUCAGUUCGUGUUUGAGGAGACACUCAGUCUGAGCUCACGACUAAAUCAUGGAUCAGAAGUCCACUUCACCCCAGAGACAUGCGGUGAAAAGCAGGUCGAAGUCUACAGAGGAAGUCCAGCAAGCGAAAAAGGCCUUCCACAUCCCCCAGAAAUCACUGCCUGGAGGGUCAGAGCUGGAAAAGGUGAAGGAGGGACCAGAAGAAAAUGUGACUCCAGCAUCAUCCACAGAAGAGCUAAAGUGAUGCUGCCAUUAAUCUGUGUUUCUCUCUCACACAAACACACACAUAAUGAUAAAUGUUUGGUUUUAAAAACAAGGUUUGGUAUAGUACAGUUAAAGCAUUAGCUCCUUCUUUUGUUGGAUUUUCAGUACAGCUCAACACACGUGCAAUUAUGAAAUCUGUCGAUCUGCAGCACGUUCAGUCUGCAUCUCUGUACACUGACAGUACAGAUACAAACACAAAAAAAUUCUAUAAACACAAUGCUUUCACUAUGAACAUAAGGGCAUGUCUGCUUUUACAGUAAAGAAGCUCAAGUUAAAUUUAAAUCCAUUUAAAUUAAUAGUAUCUUUGCUAUUUUUUAUUACCUCAUCAUAAUUGGGCAGGACAAUUUCUUCGCAGCCAGUAGGUGCUGCUGUUAGUGUGUAAAUUUUGGCAGUCAUAUUGAUAUUUUGGGUGUCUGACAUCAUAAAUCUACAGAGCCCCUAA